CGUAGGUGGCGAGCGUUGUCCGGAAUUACUGGGUGUAAAGGGCGUGUAGCGGGGAAGCAAGUCAGAUGUGAAAUCCCAUGGCUUAACUGUGGGGCUGCAUCUGAAACUGCAUCUCUUGAGUACUGGAGAGGAAAGCGGAAUUCCUAGUGUAGCGGUGAAAUGCGUAGAUAUUAGGAGGAACACCAGUGGCGAAGGCGGCUUUCUGGACAGAAACUGACGCUGAGGCGCGAAAGCGUGGGGAGCAAACAGGAUUAGAUACCCUGGUAGUCCACGCUGUAAACGAUGGAUACUAGGUGUAGGAGGUAUCGACCCCUUCUGUGCCGCAGUUAACACAAUAAGUAUCCCACCUGGGGAGUACGGCCGCAAGGUUG
RNAcentral lists this ribosomal RNA (371 nucleotides) under uncultured organism. RNAcentral's name for it is "bacterial SSU rRNA". It matches the Rfam family "Bacterial small subunit ribosomal RNA", at positions 526 to 896 of the family's 1533-position model. The record is from RNAcentral.